AUUGAACGCUGGCGGCAUGCCUUACACAUGCAAGUCGAACGGCAGCACGGGAGCAAUCCUGGUGGCGAGUGGCGAACGGGUGAGUAAUAUAUCGGAACGUGCCCAGUCGUGGGGGAUAACGUAGCGAAAGCUACGCUAAUACCGCAUACGAUCUAUGGAUGAAAGCGGGGGAUCGCAAGACCUCGCGCGAUUGGAGCGGCCGAUAUCAGAUUAGGUAGUUGGUGAGGUAAAGGCUCACCAAGCCGACGAUCUGUAGCUGGUCUGAGAGGACGACCAGCCACACUGGGACUGAGACACGGCCCAGACUCCUACGGAGGCAGCAGUGGGGAAUUUUGGACAAUGGGCGCAAGCCUGAUCCAGCAAUGCCGCGUGCAGGAUGAAGGCCU
Molecule: ribosomal RNA, 386 nt
Filed under: uncultured bacterium
Lineage: Bacteria
Description: bacterial SSU rRNA
Rfam family: Bacterial small subunit ribosomal RNA
Source: RNAcentral